Molecule: long non-coding RNA, 378 nt
Organism: Aegilops tauschii subsp. strangulata
Lineage: Eukaryota; Viridiplantae; Streptophyta; Magnoliopsida; Poales; Poaceae
Source: RefSeq, a predicted model, not a curated record
UUCCUUCGGAUCGUUCGGUCGUUCUUCCGCUGGCCGCUGUUCGUCUAAUCGCCGUCUUCAACUCCGCGUCUCUGCGGCCUCUCACGAACGAGACGACGAUGGCCGCCGACUGCAGCAGGCAGCAGCAAGGUAAUUAUUCCUUUCAGUUUCAAAAAGUUGAAAUUAUUGAAGAACUACCUGAGAUCUACAAUGUCGCAAGAGACGUUAAAUGGCCUGGCAACUUGAUGCAUUGAGAAAAAAUUGCUUGAAGAAAUUGAUAUUGAUACAAUCAUUACCGAUUUUGCAUCUCAAAAUGUUGGAAGAAAAUUUUGAAGGUAAUAUGUAAUACAUUAUGUGAUAUGCACACUGAUUUUGAAUUUACUUAACUGUUUCCUUUGA